AACGCACAUUGCGCCCCUUGGUAUUCCGAGGGGCAUGCCUGUUCGAGCGUCAUUACACCAAUCAAGCAUAGCUUGGUAUUGGGCCGUCGCCCCCCGUCGAACGGGGGCGUGCCUCAAAUGCUUUCGGCGGAGUCACACCGGCUUUGGGCGUAGUAGAAUCUUUUACGAUUACGUCUGACGAGCCGGCGGGCCUCUCGCCGUCAAACCACCAAACUUUUAUACCAGGUUGACCUCGGAUCAGGUAGGGAUACCCGCUGAACUUAA
Molecule: unclassified non-coding RNA, 264 nt
Filed under: uncultured fungus
Lineage: Eukaryota; Fungi
Description: partial contains 5.8S ribosomal RNA, internal transcribed spacer 2, and large subunit ribosomal RNA
Rfam family: 5.8S ribosomal RNA (bases 1-52)
Source: RNAcentral